Molecule: ribosomal RNA, 314 nt
Filed under: uncultured bacterium
Lineage: Bacteria
Description: bacterial SSU rRNA
Rfam family: Bacterial small subunit ribosomal RNA
Source: RNAcentral
UGGCUCAGAACGAACGCUGGCGGCGUGCCUAAUGCAUGCAAGUCGGACGCAGCGUGGCUUGCCACGCUGAGUGGCGCACGGCUGAGGAACACGUGGGCACCUGCCCUCCGGUGGGGGAUAACCCGACGAAAGUCGAGCUAAGCCCGCAUACGUUUCGCUCUUCGAGCGAAAGAAAACGGUGACGUGCCGGAGGAGGGGCCUGCGGCCCAUCAGGUCGUUGGUGCGGUAACGGCGCACCAAGCCGAUGACGGGUAGCUGGUCUGUGAGGACAACCAGCCAGACUGGGACUGAGAGACGAACCAGACUCCUACGGG